AGUCGCCGCGGGAACACAGAGGGUGCAAGCGUUAAUCGGAAUUACUGGGCGUAAAGCGCGCGUAGGUGGUUUGUUAAGUUGGAUGUGAAAUCCCCGGGCUCAACCUGGGAACUGCAUCCAAAACUGGCAAGCUAGAGUAUGGUAGAGGGUGGUGGAAUUUCCUGUGUAGCGGUGAAAUGCGUAGAUAUAGGAAGGAACACCAGUGGCGAAGGCGACCACCUGGACUGAUACUGACACUGAGGUGCGAAAGCGUGGGGAGCAAACAGGAUUAGAUACCCCUGUAGUCCCUGUCUCUUAUACA
This 301-nucleotide ribosomal RNA is filed under the name uncultured bacterium. RNAcentral's name for it is "partial 16S ribosomal RNA". It matches the Rfam family "Bacterial small subunit ribosomal RNA", at positions 510 to 808 of the family's 1533-position model. The record is from RNAcentral.